Small nucleolar RNA from Euleptes europaea (tarantolino), 123 nucleotides. RefSeq annotates it as small nucleolar RNA SNORA26. The transcript has a single exon. Lineage: Eukaryota; Metazoa; Chordata; Lepidosauria; Squamata; Sphaerodactylidae. The record is from RefSeq and is a predicted model, not a curated record.
GUGCCCAUCCGAAGCGGCCCGUGCUUUAGGGUGGCAACACAGGAGGGAAGAGCGUCCCUCCCGCUUAAAACCCGGGGCAGGGCCGUCGCUCCCUGCUUUCGGAUCCUGUCGCGGGAGACAGCC